GAACGCUGGCGGUAUGCUUAACACAUGCAAGUCGAACGGAAACGAUACUAGCUUGCUAGUAGGCGUCGAGUGGCGGACGGGUGAGUAACGCGUAGGAAUCUACCUGAUAGUGGGGGAUAGCCCGAAGAAAUUCGGAUUAAUACCGCAUAAUCUAUUCGUAGUAAAGUGGGGGACUUUCGAGCCUCACGCUAUCAGAUGAGCCUGCGUAAGAUUAGCUAGUUGGUAGGGUAAAAGCCUACCAAGGCGACGAUCUUUAGCUGGUCUGAGAGGAUGAUCAGCCACAUCGGGACUGAGACACGGCCCGAACUCCUACGGGAGGCAGCAGUGGGGAAUAUUGGACAAUGGGGGCAACCCUGAUCCAGCAAUGCCGCGUGAGUGAAGAAGGCCUUAGGGUUGUAAAACUCUUUCAACUGUGAAGAUGAUGACGGUAGCAGUAGAAGAAGCUCCGGCUAACUCCGUGCCAGCAGCCGCGGUAAUACGGAGGGAGCUAGCGUUGUUCGGAAUUACUGGGCGUAAAGAGCACGUAGGUGGCGAAGAUAGUCAGUGGUGAAAGGCCUGGGCUCAACCCAGGAACUGCCAUUGAUACUGCUUUGCUAGAGUCCGGGAGAGGAUAGCGGAAUUUCCAGUGUAGAGGUGAAAUUCGUAGAUAUUGGAAAGAACACCAGUUGCGAAAGGCGGCUAUCUGGACCGGUACUGACACUGAGGUGCGAAAGCGUGGGGAGCGAACAGGAUUAGAUACCCUGGUAGUCCACGCCGUAAACGAUGAGUGCUAGUUGUUGGGGUCUUAGACUUCAGUGACGUAGCUAACGCGUUAAGCACUCCGCCUGGGGAGUACGGCCGCAAGGUUAAAACUCAAAGGAAUUGACGGGGGCCCGCACAAGCGGUGGAGCAUGUGGUUUAAUUCGACGCAACGCGCAGAACCUUACCAGCCCUUGACAUACCAAUCGCGAUUUCCAGAGAUGGAUUUCUUCAGUUCGGCUGGAUUGGAUACAGGUGCUGCAUGGCUGUCGUCAGCUCGUGUCGUGAGAUGUUGGGUUAAGUCCCGCAACGAGCGCAACCCUCGCCCUUAGUUACCAUCAUUUAGUUGGGUACUCUAGGGGGACUGCCGGUGACAAGCCGGAGGAAGGUGGGGAUGACGUCAAGUCCUCAUGGCCCUUAUGGGCUGGGCUACACACGUGCUACAAUGGCAAUGACAGUGGGCAGCAACCUCGCGAGAGGAAGCUAAUCUCUAAAAAUUGUCUCAGUUCGGAUUGUUCUCUGCAACUCGAGAGCAUGAAGUCGGAAUCGCUAGUAAUCGCGUAUCAGCAUGACGCGGUGAAUACGUUCCCGGGCCUUGUACACACCGCCC
Molecule: ribosomal RNA, 1348 nt
Filed under: uncultured marine bacterium
Lineage: Bacteria
Description: bacterial SSU rRNA
Rfam family: Bacterial small subunit ribosomal RNA
Source: RNAcentral